RNAcentral lists this long non-coding RNA (389 nucleotides) under Mus musculus (house mouse). Its description in RNAcentral is "long non-coding RNA chr4:136493496-136493885". Lineage: Eukaryota; Metazoa; Chordata; Mammalia; Rodentia; Muridae. The record is from RNAcentral.
CAUAGAUUUCAAAUAGUGGUUGGAUGUUUAAUUAGGUUAUUGAGCCCAAAUCCAUGUGCCAUAAUAUUCUAACAUGAUUUAUAUCUCAUGUGUAUUAAUUUAAUAGCAUACCCAAAUGUAUUAAUCUGAUGGGUUGAAGUUGAAUUCCAGCUUUGCCAAGUAAUGUUUUUGUAAACUUGGGAAAAUAAUUCUAUUUCUUUGGACUUUAGUUUAUUUACUGGGAAAAGGAGGACAGUAGUAUCUGUCUCAUAGGCUUAGUGUGAGGAAUUAACAUGUUUAUGCAAAAGUUUAACAGUAAAGAGUAAAUAUUAGAGUUAUUGUGCUUUUUAGCUUUCAGAGUACUUUAGCAUUCUGUGAAAGAGGUAGGGUCUAGAAUCUAGUUCUAUUUU